CAGUAGCCACGGUAAUACAGAGGGUGCGAGCGUUAAUCGGAUUUACUGGGCGUAAAGCGUGCGUAGGCGGCUUCUUAAGUCGGAUGUGAAAUCCCUGAGCUUAACUUAGGAAUUGCAUUCGAUACUGGGAAGCUAGAGUAUGGGAGAGGAUGGUAGAAUUCCAGGUGUAGCGGUGAAAUGCGUAGAGAUCUGGAGGAAUACCGAUGGCGAAGGCAGCCAUCUGGCCUAAUACUGACGCUGAGGUACGAAAGCAUGGGGAGCAAACAGGAUUAGAUACCCGGGUAGUCCCUGUCUCUUAUAC
RNAcentral lists this ribosomal RNA (301 nucleotides) under uncultured bacterium. RNAcentral describes it as "partial 16S ribosomal RNA". It matches the Rfam family "Bacterial small subunit ribosomal RNA", at positions 509 to 807 of the family's 1533-position model. The record is from RNAcentral.